This 79-nucleotide transfer RNA is filed under the name Escherichia coli. RNAcentral's name for it is "tRNA-Arg". The stretch from base 8 to 66 matches the Rfam family "tRNA", at positions 8 to 63 of the family's 71-position model. From Rfam's summary of the family: Transfer RNA (tRNA) molecules are approximately 80 nucleotides in length. Their secondary structure includes four short double-helical elements and three loops (D, anti-codon, and T loops). Further hydrogen bonds mediate the characteristic L-shaped molecular structure. tRNAs have two regions of fundamental functional importance: the anti-codon, which is responsible for specific mRNA codon recognition, and the 3' end, to which the tRNAs corresponding amino acid is attached (by aminoacyl-tRNA synthetases). tRNAs cope with the degeneracy of the genetic code in two manners: having more than one tRNA (with a specific anti-codon) for a particular amino acid; and 'wobble' base-pairing, i.e. permitting non-standard base-pairing at the 3rd anti-codon position. Lineage: Bacteria; Pseudomonadati; Pseudomonadota; Gammaproteobacteria; Enterobacterales; Enterobacteriaceae. The record is from RNAcentral.
GCAUCCGUAGCUCAGCUGGAUAGAGUACUCGGCUACGAACCGAGCGGUCGGAGGUUCGAAUCCUCGGCCCGAAGGGCGA